Molecule: ribosomal RNA, 688 nt
Filed under: uncultured bacterium
Lineage: Bacteria
Description: bacterial SSU rRNA
Rfam family: Bacterial small subunit ribosomal RNA
Source: RNAcentral
ACGCUAAUACCGCGUAAAUCAACGAGAUCGCAUGAUUUUGUUGGAAAAGGAGAAAUCCGCUUAAGGAUGGGCCCGCGGCCUAUUAGCUAGUUGGUAGGGUAACGGCCUACCAAGGCGACGAUAGGUAGCCGACCUGAGAGGGUGAACGGCCACACUGGAACUGAGAAACGGUCCAGACUCCUACGGGAGGCAGCAGUAGGGAAUAUUCCGCAAUGGGCGAAAGCCUGACGGAGCAACGCCGCGUGAGUGAAGAAGGUUUUCGGAUCGUAAAGCUCUGUCAACAGGGACGAAACAAGACGGUACCUGAGAAGGAAGCCACGGCAAACUACGUGCCAGCAGCCGCGGUAAUACGUAGGUGGCAAGCGUUGUCCGGAAUAACUGGGCGUAAAGCGCAUGUAGACGGCAUGAUAAGCCAAAUGUGAAAUGUAGGGGCUCAACCCCUGCACUGCGAUUGGAACUGUCAAGCUUGAGUGCAGGAGAGGCAAAUGGAAUUCCCAGUGUAGCAGUGAAAUGCGUAGAGAUUGGGAGGAACACCAGUGGCGAAGGCGAUUUGCUGGACUGCAACUGACGUUGAGAUGCGAAAGCUAGGGGAGCAAACGGGAUUAGAUACCCCGGUAGUCCUAGCCGUAAACGAUGGAUACUAGGUGUAGAGGGUAUCGACCCCUUCUGUGCCGCAGCGAACGCAAUA